RNAcentral lists this ribosomal RNA (1521 nucleotides) under uncultured Planctomycetales bacterium. RNAcentral's name for it is "16S ribosomal RNA". It matches the Rfam family "Bacterial small subunit ribosomal RNA". The record is from RNAcentral. Lineage: Bacteria; Pseudomonadati; Planctomycetota; Planctomycetia; Planctomycetales.
CAUGCAAGUCGAACGAGGAUAUAUCCUUCGGGAUAUAAGCCGAGUGGCGCAAGGGUGAGUAAUGCAUAGAUUACCUGCCUCUAGGAUAAGGACAACUUUGUGAAAACGAAGCUAAUACUUAAUAAUACAAAAGAAAAUAAUUUUCUUUUGUCAAUGGGAGGGUAGUAAUACCUUUUGCCUGGAGAGGGGUUUAUGUCCUAUCAGCUUGUUGGUGGGGUAAUGGCCUACCAAGGCGAAGACGGGUAGCCGGUCUUAGAGGAUGGUCGGCCACACUGGGACUGAGACACUGCCCAGACUUCUACGGAAGGCUGCAGUCGAGAAUCUUUCGCAAUGCCCGAAAGGGUGACGAAGCGACGCCGCGUGAGUGAGGAAGGCCUUCGGGUUGUAAAGCUCUGUCAGGAGUUAAGAAAUAUAAGUAUGCUAAUACCAUAUUUAUUUGACGAAGGCUCCAAAGGAAGCCACGGCUAACUCUGUGCCAGCAGCCGCGGUAAUACAGAGGUGGCAAGCGUUGUUCGGAAUUAUUGGGCGUAAAGAGCACGUAGGUGGGUUUGUAAGUCAGAUGUGAAAGCCUUCUGCUCAACGGAAGAAUUGCAUCUGAAACUACGAGUCUUGAGUGUAGGAGGGGAGAAUGGAACUUCUGGUGGAGCGGUGAAAUGCGUAGAUAUCAGAAGGGACACCGGCGGCGAAAGCGAUUCUCUGGCCUAUUACUGACACUCAGUGUGCGAAAGCUAGGGGAGCAAACGGGAUUAGAUACCCCGGUAGUCCUAGCCGUAAACGAUGGGCACUAAGUAGAGGGAAUUACCGAUGUUCUCUCUGCCGUAGCUAACGCAUUAAGUGCCCCGCCUGGGGAGUACGGCCGCAAGGCUAAAACUCAAAAGAAUUGACGGGGGCUCGCACAAGCGGUGGAGCAUGUGGCUUAAUUCGAUGCAACGCGAAGAACCUUACCGGGGCUUGACAUGGUAGAAGUAGAAACCCGAAAGGGUAACGAACGGUAUCCAGUCCGUAACUAUCACAGGUGUUGCAUGGCUGUCGUCAGCUCGUGUCGUGAGACGUUGGGUUAAGUCCCCUAACGAGCGAAACCCUUGUUUUUAGUUACCAGCGGGUUAUGCCGGGUACUCUAGAAAGACUGCCGUCGUCAAGACGGAGGAAGGUGGGGAUGACGUCAAGUCAUCAUGGCCCUUAUGCCCCGGGCUGCACACGUGCUACAAUGGUCGGUACAAACGGGAGCGAAGCCGAGAGGUGAAGCGAAUCCUAAAAAGCCGAUCUCAGUUCGGAUUGGAGGCUGAAAUUCGCCUCCAUGAAGUUGGAAUCGCUAGUAAUCGCGGAUCAGCAUUGCCGCGGUGAAUAUGUUCCCGAGCCUUGUACACACCGCCCGUCAAGCCACCCAAGCAGGAUGCACCCGAAAACAUUAUAUCUAACCAAGUUUACUUGGAGGAAAAUGUUGAAGGAGUGUUUUGUGAGGAGGACUAAGUCGUAACAAGGUAGUCGUAGGAGAACCUGCGGCUGGAUCACCUCCUUUCU